Canis lupus familiaris (dog) is the source of this 87-nucleotide non-coding RNA. Lineage: Eukaryota; Metazoa; Chordata; Mammalia; Carnivora; Canidae. The record is from Rfam.
AAGACUAUACUUUCAGGGAUCAUUUCUAUAGUUUGUUAAUUUUUUGUCAGGACAUUGGCAGCUUCCCUUUACUCUUGCCACUAAGGG